AUCCAGCCGACGAGUCCGAAACAGGACGAAACGCGAGUCCUGGAU
RNAcentral lists this non-coding RNA (45 nucleotides) under Schistosoma mattheei. The record is from RNAcentral. Lineage: Eukaryota; Metazoa; Platyhelminthes; Trematoda; Strigeidida; Schistosomatidae.